AGUGAACGCUGGCGGUAGGCCUAACACAUGCAAGUCGAACGGCAGCACAGGAGAGCUUGCUCUCUGGGUGGCGAGUGGCGGACGGGUGAGGAAUACAUCGGAAUCUACUCUGUCGUGGGGGAUAACGUAGGGAAACUUACGCUAAUACCGCAUACGACCUACGGGUGAAAGCAAGGGAUCUUCGGACCUUGCGCGAUUGAAUGAGCCGAUGUCGGAUAGCUAGUUGGCGGGGUAAAGGCCCACCAAGGCGACGAUCCGUAGCUGGUCUGAGAGGAUGCGCAGCCACACUGGAACUGAGACACGGGACAGACUCCUACUGUAGGGAGCAGUGGGGAUUAUUGGACAAUGGGCGCAAGCCUGAUCCAGUCAUACCGCGUGGGUGAAGAAGGCCUUCGGGUUGUAAAGCCCUUUUGUUGGGAAAGAAAUCCAGCUGGCUAAUACCCGGUUGAGAUGACGGUACCCAAAGAAUAAGCACCGGCUAACUUCGUGCCAGCAGCCGCGGUAA
RNAcentral lists this ribosomal RNA (505 nucleotides) under uncultured bacterium. RNAcentral's name for it is "partial 16S ribosomal RNA". It matches the Rfam family "Bacterial small subunit ribosomal RNA", at positions 29 to 523 of the family's 1533-position model. The record is from RNAcentral.